Molecule: ribosomal RNA, 253 nt
Filed under: uncultured bacterium
Lineage: Bacteria
Description: partial 16S ribosomal RNA
Rfam family: Bacterial small subunit ribosomal RNA
Source: RNAcentral
UACGAAGGACCCAAGCGUUAUCCGGAUUUACUGGUUUUAAAGGGUGCGUAGGCGGGUUAUUAAGUCAGUGGUGAAAGCCUGCAGCUUAACUGCAGAACUGCCAUUGAUACUGAUGAUCUUGAGUAUGAUUGAGGUGGGCGGAAUGUGUCAUGUAGCGGUGAAAUGCUUAGAUAUGACACAGAACACCGAUUGCGAAGGCAGCUCACUAAGCCAUAACUGACGCUGAUGCACGAAAGCGUGGGGAGCAAACAGG